UACAGAGGUCUCAAGCGUUGUUCGGAUUCAUUGGGCGUAAAGGGUGCGUAGGCGGCGCGGUAAGUCGGGUGUGAAAUCUCGGAGCUUAACUCCGAAACUGCAUUCGAUACUGCCGUGCUUGAGGACUGGAGAGGAGACUGGAAUUUACGGUGUAGCGGUGAAAUGCGUAGAUAUCUGGAGGAACACCGGUGGCGAAGGCGGCGUUCUGGACUGCAACUGACACUGAGGAACGAAAGCCAGGGGAGCAAACGGG
This 253-nucleotide ribosomal RNA is filed under the name uncultured bacterium. RNAcentral's name for it is "partial 16S ribosomal RNA". It matches the Rfam family "Bacterial small subunit ribosomal RNA", at positions 524 to 776 of the family's 1533-position model. The record is from RNAcentral.